CCGUUUUUAGGGUACUGUAAGAGGAGAGACUCGAAUGGAACAGGCCGGUUUUCUUCCGGUCCUGUCGCUUGGCGUAAUCGGGUCCUGCGCGGCAGACGUCUAUGAACCCCGCUAGGUCCGUGAGGAAGCAACGGUAAGUGGACCUCUCUGGGUGCCGUAGGGUUGCCUGGUUGCGCCAAGCGGCAGGACUGGGCGAAAAUCGG
Molecule: signal recognition particle RNA, 203 nt
Filed under: Chloroflexota bacterium
Lineage: Bacteria; Bacillati; Chloroflexota
Description: Chloroflexi bacterium signal recognition particle sRNA large type
Rfam family: Bacterial large signal recognition particle RNA
About the family: The signal recognition particle (SRP) is a universally conserved ribonucleoprotein involved in the co-translational targeting of proteins to membranes.
Source: RNAcentral